UAUCAGUCUACGGGUAGAAUUAGGUGUUGUCUUAAUCUGUUAGUGCUGCCAUCACAGAGUACCUGAGACCAGAUGAUUUACAAAGAACACAGAUGUAUUUUCUGACAGUUCUGGAGGUUGGAAAAUGCAAGACCUAGGCACCAGUAGGUUCAUGGUCCAGUUUCUGAUUCCAUGACGACCCCUUGAACACAGCGUCCUCUGAAAGGGAGGACUGCUGUGUCUUCCCACGGCAGAAGAUGCUUGAAGUCCUUUUGUAAGGGCACCUCAUCCCGUUCACGAACUCCUGGAGACCAUCUCUCCUAAUACUGUUGUUUUGGGGAUUGUUUCAAGAUGAAUUUUGGAGGGGUCAAGAAUAUUCAAACCAUAGCAGGUACAAUAUAUGAAUCGGUAUCUUGAAAAAACUGUGUUGUGGCAUAAUGGGUUACCGCCCUGGCCUGAAGCACAGGCAUCCCAUAUGGGUGCCGGUUCGAGACCCGGCUGCUCCACUUCCAAUCCAGCUCUCUGUUAUGGUUUGGGAAAGCAGUAGAAGAUGGCCCAAGUCCUUGGGCCCCUGCACUGCAUGGGAGACCUGGAAAAAGCCCCUGGCUCUGUCUUCGGAUCGGCACAGCUCCAGCCGUUGCAGCCAAUUGGAGAAUGAACCAGCGGAUGGAAGACCUAUCUCUCUCUCUCUCUCUGCCUCUCCUCUCUUUGUGUAACUCUGACUUUCAAAUAAAUAAAUAAAUCUUAAAAAAAAAAAACAAAAACAAAACUGUGAUCUCAAUUAAAAGACUAAUCAUAGAAGCAUUAAUGAAAUUGACCAAAAAUGAAUAAGGCUAACCAUCGGGUACAACCUUAAAAUUUUUCCACGCUAGGCCUCACUCAACUGGCUGAGUAACCAGACACAUUUCUUCACUUAGCUGCCCAAAUCGGGGAAUGAGGGAUUUACUGUAUUUUGCUGGGCAGUCAGUGCCAUGUGCUGGGAGAUUCUUGGGCAGAAGAUUGAAAUAUCUGAAAUAUUGCUGUUGACAGAAGUAAAUCGAAUGUCAAAACCUUCAAGGUUCUGCUCAUCACUUCAGCAAAGAAAGCUAUGUAGAACAUUUCUGGUGAAAUAGAAUCCAGAACCUAAUACACAUUUCUUGCAAAUUAGUUUCGUAGGAUAAAGUACCAUUUCAUUGUGACAGCCAUGCUUAUGUUAACAUUUGACUUGGAAGAAACCCUCAAACCUGCCAACCAAAAAAUAACUGAAUUGCUCUCUUUUUGUAGAUUAAAAAAAAAAUAGAAGAAGAAAUAAAUCCAGGAAAAAAAAAAGACCCAGGAAAGGAAAACGUUCAUAGUUCUGCUAAAUUUUACUUGAACUUCCCCAGCUAUCAACAGCAAAGAUUAGUACCAAUGCUUAAUUUUGAUGGCAUCUGUGGGACAUCAGAUAAAACUACACAGUUCUUUUUCUGGGAUUGGUUACUUCUAGCAUAUAUCUUCAGAUACUUUUCAACAAAAAUAAGAGGCAAAGUAGAAACAGAGAGGUGGUAACUUUCUCUGCACUGGCCUCCACCUCUCAUCCGGCCCAGUGGAGUAAAGGCCUUGAAAAUUCAGACCAAGCCAGCUGUGAACACACUCAUAGAGAGAUGAUCUGGGGGCUGUCCUCCAGCCCAGGAUCCCAGACGUUCCGGGGCCCAGGCACACUUGGCAGAGCAUCCUUGGGACAAGCAUGUUUGGUUACCAGGUCAGCAUCCUACUUCCCCAACCUUGGAGGCAACUGAGGAAGACAGGAGACAAAACCAUGCUGACAUUGAUCAGCAAGGACCGGGCCAGCAAGCCGGAGAGCAAACUAAAGGCACUGCUGUGAUCUGGACUAGAGAAAUGAAGAGGUGUACCCUCUGCCUGCAUCACAUAGGGUGACAGUAACAAAGGCCCUAUCAACACAGCUGGCUUGUCCUAAAUACAAGGCAUUUUUCCCACUGGGGAGUUGGGGGGGAACAACCCUGGCCCAGCCGGACAUAAUAAGAUAAAGCCUAACGUGCUUACCAGACCUGGACUUUCCCACUGCAGGUCAAAGCCAGUGGGCAGAAAUUUCAAGAGGAAACUGGUUCUGGCCUCUUGUUCAUAGAUCCAUUGCCAUUUAGUUAACUGUACUCAGACUGUAAGGCAACACCACGUGUCCAGAGCUGACUGAGUGAUAAGACAGCUGAAAAGUUCCUGGAAAAAGCAGUCAACGUCUCAAAGCCGCCUUACUAAACCCCAGGCCCUGUGAGGUGUUACUUCAUGUACUCAUCAAAGUCACCCUAUGAGGGAACCCAGGAUGGAACACUGUGCUGCUUUCUAGCUGUAGGCUAGGAAGCAGCUCCUUUAAUUGACACAAGACUGACAACUUUGCAAA
Non-coding RNA from Oryctolagus cuniculus (rabbit), 2353 nucleotides. NCBI's taxonomy places the organism in Eukaryota, Metazoa, Chordata, Mammalia, Lagomorpha, Leporidae. The record is from RefSeq and is a predicted model, not a curated record.